Molecule: ribosomal RNA, 501 nt
Filed under: uncultured bacterium
Lineage: Bacteria
Description: bacterial SSU rRNA
Rfam family: Bacterial small subunit ribosomal RNA
Source: RNAcentral
AGAGUUUGAUCCUGGCUCAGAUUGAACGCUGGCGGCAUGCCUAACACAUGCAAGUCGAACGGAAACGAUGGAAGCUUGCUUCCAGGCGUCGAGUGGCGGACGGGUGAGUAACGCGUAGGAAUCUGUCUUGUAGUGGGGGACAACCUGGGGAAACCCAGGCUAAUACCGCAUAAUAUCUACGGAUGAAAGUGGAGGAUCUUCGGACUUCACGCUAUUAGAGGAGCCUGCGUUAGAUUAGCUUGUUGGUGGGGUAAAGGCCUACCAAGGCGACGAUCUAUAGCUGGUUUGAGAGGACGAUCAGCCACACUGGGACUGAGACACGGCCCAGACUCCUACGGGAGGCAGCAGUGGGGAAUAUUGGACAAUGGGGGCAACCCUGAUCCAGCAAUGCCGCGUGUGUGAAGAAGGCCUGAGGGUUGUAAAGCACUUUCAAUUGUGAAGAAAAGUUUAAGGUUAAUAGCCUUAGACCCUGACGUUAACUUUAGAAGAAGACCGCUAACU